Molecule: ribosomal RNA, 441 nt
Filed under: uncultured bacterium
Lineage: Bacteria
Description: bacterial SSU rRNA
Rfam family: Bacterial small subunit ribosomal RNA
Source: RNAcentral
AACGCGAAGAACCUUACCUACCCUUGACAUCCUGCGAAUCCCGAUGAGAGUUGGGAGUGCCGAAAGGAGCGCAGAGACAGGUGCUGCAUGGCUGUCGUCAGCUCGUGUUGUGAGAUGUUGGGUUAAGUCCCGUAACGAGCGCAACCCUUGUCCUUAGUUGCCAGCAUUUAGUUGGGGACUCUAAGGAGACUGCCGGUGAGGAACCGGAGGAAGGCGGGGACGACGUCAAGUCAUCAUGGCCUUUAUGGGUAGGGCUACACACGUGCUACAAUGGGACGUACAGAGGGUCGCGAACCCGCGAGGGGGAGCCAAUCCCGCAAAGCGUCUCGUAGUCCGGAUUGGAGUCUGCAACUCGACUCCAUGAAGUUGGAAUCGCUAGUAAUCGCGAAUCAGCAUUGUCGCGGUGAAUACGUUCCCGGGCCUUGUACACACCGAGACGUA